RNAcentral lists this long non-coding RNA (615 nucleotides) under Oryza sativa aus subgroup. RNAcentral's name for it is "lncRNA OsNaBo_06g0008980". The record is from RNAcentral. Lineage: Eukaryota; Viridiplantae; Streptophyta; Magnoliopsida; Poales; Poaceae.
GUCAUCUGUAUAACAAAAGAACAGGGGUAACAGUAGCUGCCGAUCUACAUGGUGACAGUAGCUGGUUACAUGUACACCGUCCGAUUCGGCGGGCUCAUCCGAUCAGAGACGUUCGUGCCCCCAUCCUCCCCCAGUAGCCAGAAGCUACUCUCGAACCCUAAUCCCUCUCCUCUUCCCACGAGGAGCCGCCGCCGCCGCCACCGCCACCGUCUUCCCCUCGAGCUCGUGAAGCCGGAGCCGCCGCCUUCUUCUCAAGCUCGCGGAGCCAGCCGUCGCCGCCGCCGUGCGGAGCCAGUGGUUACCGUCGCUGUCUUCCCAUCGACUUCUUGCGAGUCCGGUGUCCCACUGUCGCCGCCAUUUCCGUCUCCUUCCCCAUCCCACGCAGACUUUGGUUCUUGCAAGAUCUGUGCCCGCAUCGAGCCCCCACAAGCACGCGGUAAUCAGAAGGUGAAGCUCGACGUGGGCCUGCAGAUAUUUUUGGAAGCACAAACGAAAGGAUCACGUAUGUAUGUCAUGUUUGCUGAUUACUACCUUUCCCUGCAAAUACACAUACACCACUUGGAUGUAGAUACACAUUCUGUCUUGCUUAACAUGUUAAUUAACUUGAUUGAGUAA